GCCGCGUGUGUGAUACGGCCUUAUGGUUGUAAAGCACUUUAAGCGAGGAGGAGGCUACUUUAGUUAAUACCUAGAGAUAGUGGACGUUACUCGCAGAAUAAGCACCGGCUAACUCUGUGCCAGCAGCCGCGGUAAUACAGAGGGUGCGAGCGUUAAUCGGAUUUACUGGGCGUAAAGCGUGCGUAGGCGGCUUAUUAAGUCGGAUGUGAAAUCCCCGAGCUUAACUUGGGAAUUGCAUUCGAUACUGGUGAGCUAGAGUAUGGGAGAGGAUGGUAGAAUUCCAGGUGUAGCGGUGAAAUGCGUAGAGAUCUGGAGGAAUACCGAUGGCGAAGGCAGCCAUCUGGCCUAAUACUGACGCUGAGGUACGAAAGCAUGGGGAGCAAACAGGAUUAGAUACCCUGGUAGUCCAUGCCGUAAACGAUGUCUACUAGCCGUUGGGGCCUUUGAGGCUUUAGUGGCGCAGCUAACGCGAUAAGUAAACCGCCUGGGGAGUACCGUCGCAAUACUAAAACGCAAUGAAUUGACGGGGGACCUCCCAAACGGUGGANCNUGU
This 553-nucleotide ribosomal RNA is filed under the name Acinetobacter baumannii. RNAcentral describes it as "bacterial SSU rRNA". It matches the Rfam family "Bacterial small subunit ribosomal RNA", at positions 396 to 942 of the family's 1533-position model. The record is from RNAcentral. Lineage: Bacteria; Pseudomonadati; Pseudomonadota; Gammaproteobacteria; Moraxellales; Moraxellaceae.